GGGGAAUUAGCUCAGCUGGGAGAGCGCUUGACUGGCAGUCAAGAGGCCAGGGGUUCAAGUCCCCUAUUCUCCACCA
This 76-nucleotide transfer RNA is filed under the name Anaerococcus tetradius. Its description in RNAcentral is "tRNA-Ala". It matches the Rfam family "tRNA". From Rfam's summary of the family: Transfer RNA (tRNA) molecules are approximately 80 nucleotides in length. Their secondary structure includes four short double-helical elements and three loops (D, anti-codon, and T loops). The record is from RNAcentral. RNAcentral also lists the same sequence under 1 other name. Lineage: Bacteria; Bacillati; Bacillota; Tissierellia; Tissierellales; Peptoniphilaceae.